GCACUCCACCGCCACCGUCGCCAAUCGCCAGCCUUCCAUGCGCGUCUGACACCACCUGCAACACACAAAAGAAGAAGACAACAAACACAAUCCAAAUAGCAAACAAACAAAAAAUAGAAAUUAAGAAGUCGUGUGGAUCGGCUAUAAAAGCCUAGAAUAUCGCCCUUGUAUUUUUCUUCGAUUUUUCUUUAUAAAAGACGCAUACCAAAGAAUCAAAGGAGAAGAAAAGGUUGCCCAUUCGUGUUCUUCGUUUUUUUUCUCUGUCGAUUUAGUUUUUUUUUCUUUUUACGAAAUUGUUUUUAUCUUUUUUUAAAAAAAAACUAUUGAUAUAAAAAAAUAAAAAGGGAGAAGAGGGGUUACCUGAGCCGACCGGUAGCCCCGCCAUCGGUCUCUUCGCCGCUCUAGGAUCCGAACGCGGGGGAGGGCUAAGGACCCUUUUUCUUUUUUUCUCCGAUUUCUGGCUUUAGGGACUCGGCCUUUAAACGCGCUUCAAAGCGCUGGUCGAAGAGGCGUCUUCGCGCGACGCCGGCUGCCGAACACGGUGGCGCUACGGCGGCAAAUGUGGCCGGUUUCUGGGAUUGAUGAGAGUGGGGGAGGGAGAUUUCUGUUUUUUUUUAAAUGAAAUAGGAGAAAUGAAGUUUGUAAAAAAAAUUGGUUUAAAUAGCAACAAGGAAACGGCGUCAUUUCAAGAGUGGCGACCUGCAUGCGCGACCCAACCUACCAAGGGGAUCCGCGCGUUUCAUGAAAUGGGCUAUUUUCGCCCUUGGUCCUUCCUCGUUGUUGACUGUUUUAAUUUAGUCCUUUUGCUUGUUUGUUUGUUUUCUUUAAUUUGGCCCCACGCACUUUCUUCAUGUUUCAAUUUAGUCAGCGCGCGAUUGCUGUGCCUCAGGACUUGGGCAUAUUGCCCGAUAAGUCCUUCGCACUUUGCGCGUGCUUCAUUCCAUCCCCCGAACCUCUUAUUUGUGAAUUUGGC
RNAcentral lists this long non-coding RNA (973 nucleotides) under Gossypium barbadense (sea-island cotton). RNAcentral's name for it is "long non-coding RNA (GBAR_LNC017680)". The record is from RNAcentral. Lineage: Eukaryota; Viridiplantae; Streptophyta; Magnoliopsida; Malvales; Malvaceae.